RNAcentral lists this ribosomal RNA (622 nucleotides) under Hyphodontia arguta. Its description in RNAcentral is "eukaryotic LSU rRNA". The stretch from base 223 to 377 matches the Rfam family "5.8S ribosomal RNA". The record is from RNAcentral. Lineage: Eukaryota; Fungi; Basidiomycota; Agaricomycetes; Hymenochaetales; Schizoporaceae.
ACCUGCGGAAGGAUCAUUAUCGAGUUUGAAGUGGGCCUUUGAGCUGGCUGGAUUCGUUCAGUAUGCGUGCUCGAGGCCCCGCUCCAAUCCACUCAACCCCUGUGCACUUUCGGAGUGGCGAGUGGGAUCGCAAGGUCUUGCUCGUGGCUUCGUCUCUUAUCACAAACCAGUUUAUUAUUGUCAUGUAGAACGUGGAUGCCUGUAAAGGCGGAAACUCAAUACAACUUUCAACAACGGAUCUCUUGGCUCUCGCAUCGAUGAAGAACGCAGCGAAAUGCGAUAAGUAAUGUGAAUUGCAGAUUUCAGUGAAUCAUCGAAUCUUUGAACGCACCUUGCGCUCCUGGACUUGUUUCAGGAGCAUGCCUGUUUGAGUGUCAUGAAAUCAUCAACCACGAUGCCUUAUUGGGUGUCGCUGGCUUGGACUUGGGGAUCUGCUGGCUUGUCAAGAGUCGGCUUCCCUUGAAUGCAUUAGUCGGGUGCCUUGCUCGAGAAGUGUGAUAAUUAUCAUUCACUGAUCGUCGAGGAGCUUUGUCUCGGCUUCUAACCUGCAUUGGAAACGAUGCAAUUUUGACACAUCUGACCUCAAAUCAGGUAGGACUACCCGCUGAACUUAAGCAUAUGA